Molecule: ribosomal RNA, 358 nt
Filed under: uncultured eukaryote
Lineage: Eukaryota
Description: LSU rRNA
Rfam family: Bacterial large subunit ribosomal RNA
Source: RNAcentral
UUUAUUUGCGCAGCAUAGGUGGGAGGCAUUGAGUUUAUUCUUGCGGGAAUUUAGGAGCCAUCAGUGAGAUACCACUCUGGUAAUGUUAGAUUUCUAACUUUGUAUCAUGAUCUGGUCAAAGAACAGUUUCAGGCGGGCAGUUUGACUGGGGCGGUCGCCUCCCAAAUGGUAACGGAGGCGUACAAAGGUUUCCUCUGAACGUGUAGAAAUCGUAUCUAGAGUGUAAAGGCAUAAGGAAGCUUGACUGUGAGACCUACAAGUCGAGCAGGGACGAAAGUCGGUCUUAGUGAUCUGACGGUGCUGAGUGGAAAGGCCGUCACUCAACGGAUAAAAGUUACUCUAGGGAUAACAGGCUGAA